GUAGGUGGCAAGUGUUGUCCGGAAUUAUUGGGCGUAAAGCGCGCGCAGGCGGGGUCCUUUAAGGUCUGAUGUGAAAGCCCACAGCUCAACCGUGGAGGGUCAUUGGAAACUGGGGGACUUGAGUACAGAAGAGGAAAGCGGAAUUCCAAGUGUAGCGGUGAAAUGCGUAGAGAUUUGGAGGAACACCAGUGGCGAAGGCGGCUUUCUGGUCUGUAACUGACGCUGAGGCGCGAAAGCGUGGGGAGCAAACAGGAUUAGAUACCCUGGUAGUCCACGCCGUAAACGAUGAGUGCUAAGUGUUAGGGGGUUUCCGCCCCUUAGUGCUGCAGCUAACGCAUUAAGCACUCCGCCUGGGGAGUACGGCCGCAAGGCUG
Molecule: ribosomal RNA, 374 nt
Filed under: uncultured organism
Description: partial 16S ribosomal RNA
Rfam family: Bacterial small subunit ribosomal RNA
Source: RNAcentral